UAAGACCUCGCGCUAUUGGAGCGGCCGAUGUCCGAUUAGCUAGUUGGUAGGGUAAUGGCCUACCAAGGCGACGAUCGGUAGCUGGUCUGAGAGGAUGAUCAGCCACACUGGGACUGAGACACGGCCCAGACUCCUACGGGAGGCAGCAGUGGGGAAUUUUGGACAAUGGGCGCAAGCCUGAUCCAGCCAUGCCGCGUGAGUGAAGAAGGCCUUCGGGUUGUAAAGCUCUUUCGGCCGGAACGAAAUCGUUCAGGCUAAUACCCUGAAUGGAUGACGGUACCGGAAGAAGAAGCACCGGCUAACUACGUGCCAGCAGCCGCGGUAAUACGUAGGGUGCAGGCGUUAAUCGGAAUUACUGGGCGUAAAGCGUGCGCAGGCGGCUUCCUAAGUCAGAUGUGAAAUCCCCGGGCUUAACCUGGGAACU
RNAcentral lists this ribosomal RNA (424 nucleotides) under uncultured bacterium. RNAcentral's name for it is "bacterial SSU rRNA". It matches the Rfam family "Bacterial small subunit ribosomal RNA", at positions 202 to 622 of the family's 1533-position model. The record is from RNAcentral.